AUGGCGUUGAGCGGAGGAGAUCCGUCCGGAUUCGUCGAUUGCACAAUUUUGCUGCAAUCAGAAAUUGUAGUCGAUAAUAGCCCCUCCAAGAGUGUAAAUACCAAAGAGCAGAUUAUUUCUAUUACAGCUGAGAAAACAAGUGCUACUGAUGCGCGUGGCUCUACCUCCUUAAAGUCACCAGAAGGUGCACAUGAGAAGGCUAAUUUUUUGGGAAAAGGUGGAGAACAGCCUUAUGUCUACCAGCCCAAUGUGAAUGUACCACAGCCACAGACAGUCUAUUCUGGAGGAUACAUCAAUCCUUCAGGGCAAUGGGAAGAGUAUCCCUAUUAUGUGAGUAUGGAAGGACUCCAUUCUGCGUCACCUUCAAUCAUGCUAUCUCCUGGGUAUGCGAACAACCCCCAAAUGAUGUAUGGAGCUUAUUCUCCUGUUUCAACUGUUGGAGAGGGCCAGUCCUAUUCCCCUAUGCACUUCCCCUUCUCAAGUCCUUACUAUCAGCCACCGGCUUCUCUUAGUAUGGGAUACUCAAAUUCUAGUACUGGAAUGUCUCAAGGAGACCCUAUGCUUCAGCAAGAGUACUUCCUUCCUGAUGGUCUUCUCUAUUCACCCACAACAGUGUACCACCAACCAUUUGAGUCAUACAACAGAGCGGCAACACAACCAAGCAGUGCUCCGGGAUUAUUUGGGCAAGGGAAUGCACCAUUGGUUUCUGGAAUGCAGCAUGGAUCAAUGUAUAAUUCUGGAUCCUACAAGGCACGCCAACAAGCUAGUAAAUAUGGAGGCACUACUCCUAAUUGGGGUUCUGCUGGUCGUAGAUUUAAUAAUUUCGACUACAACUCCAGUCAACAAAGGGGGAGCAUGCCAUUCAAUAUCCAGAAUGGUGCAUUGGAGUUUCUGAAUGAGCAAAACCGUGGCCCACGUGCUGCAAAACCAAAGAAACAAGACAGAGACAAUUCUUUAGUAGAUGACAAAAGCGAGAAAACCACUCAACUUAUUGACAGUGAACUGUACAAUUGUCCUGAUUUUGCCACGGAGUACAAGGAUGCGAUUUUUUUUGUAAUUAAAUCAUACACGGAGGACCAUGUACAUAGGAGCAUUAAGUACAAUGUUUGGGCCAGCACAGCUAGUGGCAAUAGAAAGCUGGAUUCAGCUUAUCGUGCGGCCAAACAGAAAGAAGACCAUUGCCGUGUUUUCUUGUUCUUCUCGGUUAAUGGCAGUGGUCAGUUCUGUGGUGUUGCUGAGAUGAUUGGACCUGUUGACUUCGACAGAAGUGUUGAUUACUGGCAGCAAGACAAGUGGAGUGGCCAGUUUCCUGUGAAGUGGCACAUUAUUAAGGAUGUCCCAAACACCCUACUCCGGCACAUCACUCUUGAGAAUAAUGACAACAAACCUGUAACAAAUAGCAGGGACACCCAGGAGGUCAAGCUAGAGUAUGGUCUCCAGAUGCUAAGCAUAUUCAAGAAUCAUGAGGCUGAGACAAGCAUUGUGGAGGACUUCGACUUCUAUGAGCAACGGGAGAAAGCCUUGAAGGAAAAUAGACGUCAGCAGCAGCCUGGCAGCGCAGAGUCCCUGAAGCCAACAGACGCUAAGGCUGUAGGGAACUCUGUUACUCAUAUCGCGGACUCAUUUUCUCGGAGUGUCCAGCUGAAAGAAAUUGAGAAAAGUGAUAACAAACUGACAGCUGAUGGUGCCAUCUCAGUGAAUGAUGCACAGACAGCUACCGUCAAGGCCGAAGAAAGCAACACAAACAAAACUAAAGGUCCUGUGGAGGAGAGCAGUUGA
RNAcentral lists this ribosomal RNA (1779 nucleotides) under Triticum aestivum (bread wheat). RNAcentral's name for it is "partial small subunit ribosomal RNA". The record is from RNAcentral. Lineage: Eukaryota; Viridiplantae; Streptophyta; Magnoliopsida; Poales; Poaceae.